UUUCCAUUAUUUUCUUUCUCUCUCUUCAAGUUUUCUCUUCCAUUUUUUCCUUUCAUUGCUACUCUUCAAGUUUUCCCUUCCAUUGCUCACAAGAUGUCACAAAAUAGUUGUUCAUCACAAAGGAGAUGCAACUGCGGGUUGAUUGUUAAAAAUCUCACUUCCACUACUCCAUCUAAUCCGGGAAGAAGAUUUCUCAGAUGUCCUCGUCCGGAUCAAUCCUCAUGUGGAUAUUGGGAAUGGGAAGACCAAGCUUUCCCGGAGAAAGCUUACAUUUAAAAUUUAGAGUUGUUGUUGAAAGAUAUAAAAAACGAACGGGACAAUGUGAAGAUUGAAAUGGACAACUUGAAGCUGGGAAUGGAUAAUUUGAAGCUUGAAAUGGCCAAUUUGAAGAAUGAAAGUGAGAAUUUGAAGAAUGAAUGGGAAAAUUUAUCGGAAAUGGUUGCUACCCUGGAAGCUACAAAUCAAUUAGAAAUGAACAAAGCCAGGACAUUUGAAGAGAAGUAUUCUAAGAUGAAAUUGACUGUUAUGAUUUCAUGGGCUCUUUUUGUUGCUUUUUUGGUAGCACUGUUGGCAAAAUGAAUUCGGUAUGUAAUUUUAGGAGUUAGUGGCUUAAAAUUUAGAUUUUGAUGAAGCUAAUAUGUGUAUGUAGUAGUUGAUGAACUAAUGGUUGAACUUUUCUUUUGGAGGUGUACUGAAUGUACUUGUAAUGUGGAUGUAAGUGUUUGUAAUUUAAGGAUGUUAUGGUAAUGUGGUUUGUUAAUGUAAUGUGAAAAUCUUUCAAUGUUUAUG
Molecule: long non-coding RNA, 789 nt
Organism: Lycium ferocissimum
Lineage: Eukaryota; Viridiplantae; Streptophyta; Magnoliopsida; Solanales; Solanaceae
Exons: 2
Source: RefSeq, a predicted model, not a curated record